Molecule: non-coding RNA, 119 nt
Organism: Gossypium arboreum
Lineage: Eukaryota; Viridiplantae; Streptophyta; Magnoliopsida; Malvales; Malvaceae
Source: Rfam
GGCUGCGAUCAUACCGACAGAAAUGUGCUGGAUCCCAUCAGAACACUGCAGUGAAGUGUGCUUGGGUGAGAGUAGUACUAGGAUGGGUGACCUCCUAGGAAGUCCUCGUGUUGCACCCC